AUACUUACCUGGCAGGGAAGAUACCACGAUCACGAAGGUAGUUUUCCCAGGGUGAGUAUUAUAUAUUAUAUUUAUCCAUUGCACUCCGGAUGUGCUGACCCCUGCGAUUUCCCCAAAUGUGAAAAACUCGACUGCAUAAUUUGUGGUAGUGGAGGACUGCGUUUGCACUUUCCCCUG
This is a small nuclear RNA of Callithrix jacchus (white-tufted-ear marmoset), 177 nucleotides long. Its record names the gene U1. It matches the Rfam family "U1 spliceosomal RNA". Rfam says of the family: U1 is a small nuclear RNA (snRNA) component of the spliceosome (involved in pre-mRNA splicing). Its 5' end forms complementary base pairs with the 5' splice junction, thus defining the 5' donor site of an intron. There are significant differences in sequence and secondary structure between metazoan and yeast U1 snRNAs, the latter being much longer (568 nucleotides as compared to 164 nucleotides in human). Lineage: Eukaryota; Metazoa; Chordata; Mammalia; Primates; Cebidae. The record is from Ensembl.